GCCGCGAUGGUCUAGCCUGGUCGGACGCCUCCCUGCUACGGAGGUAUCCUGCAAGGGAUUCCCCGGUUCAAAUCCGGGUCGCGGCG
This 86-nucleotide transfer RNA is filed under the name Haloarcula amylolytica JCM 13557. Its description in RNAcentral is "tRNA-Ser". It matches the Rfam family "tRNA". From Rfam's summary of the family: Transfer RNA (tRNA) molecules are approximately 80 nucleotides in length. Their secondary structure includes four short double-helical elements and three loops (D, anti-codon, and T loops). Further hydrogen bonds mediate the characteristic L-shaped molecular structure. tRNAs have two regions of fundamental functional importance: the anti-codon, which is responsible for specific mRNA codon recognition, and the 3' end, to which the tRNAs corresponding amino acid is attached (by aminoacyl-tRNA synthetases). tRNAs cope with the degeneracy of the genetic code in two manners: having more than one tRNA (with a specific anti-codon) for a particular amino acid; and 'wobble' base-pairing, i.e. permitting non-standard base-pairing at the 3rd anti-codon position. Lineage: Archaea; Methanobacteriati; Methanobacteriota; Halobacteria; Halobacteriales; Haloarculaceae. The record is from RNAcentral. RNAcentral also lists the same sequence under 2 other names.